Molecule: ribosomal RNA, 400 nt
Filed under: Escherichia coli
Lineage: Bacteria; Pseudomonadati; Pseudomonadota; Gammaproteobacteria; Enterobacterales; Enterobacteriaceae
Description: bacterial SSU rRNA
Rfam family: Bacterial small subunit ribosomal RNA
Source: RNAcentral
AAAUUGAAGAGUUUGAUCAUGGCUCAGAUUGAACGCUGGCGGCAGGCCUAACACAUGCAAGUCGAACGGUAACAGGAAGCAGCUUGCUGCUUUGCUGACGAGUGGCGGACGGGUGAGUAAUGUCUGGGAAACUGCCUGAUGGAGGGGGAUAACUACUGGAAACGGUAGCUAAUACCGCAUAACGUCGCAAGACCAAAGAGGGGGACCUUCGGGCCUCUUGCCAUCGGAUGUGCCCAGAUGGGAUUAGCUUGUUGGUGGGGUAAAGGCUCACCAAGGCGACGAUCCCUAGCUGGUCUGAGAGGAUGACCAGCCACACUGGAACUGAGACACGGUCCAGACUCCUACGGGAGGCAGCAGUGGGGAAUAUUGCACAAUGGGCGCAAGCCUGAUGCAGCCAUGC